Molecule: ribosomal RNA, 465 nt
Filed under: Vreelandella stevensii
Lineage: Bacteria; Pseudomonadati; Pseudomonadota; Gammaproteobacteria; Oceanospirillales; Halomonadaceae
Description: partial 16S ribosomal RNA
Rfam family: Bacterial small subunit ribosomal RNA
Source: RNAcentral
CCUACGGGUGGCUGCAGUGGGGAAUAUUGGACAAUGGGGGGAACCCUGAUCCAGCCAUGCCGCGUGUGUGAAGAAGGCCCUCGGGUUGUAAAGCACUUUCAGUGAGGAAGAACGCCUGGUGGUUAAUACCCAUCAGGAAAGACAUCACUCACAGAAGAAGCACCGGCUAACUCCGUGCCAGCAGCCGCGGUAAUACGGAGGGUGCGAGCGUUAAUCGGAAUUACUGGGCGUAAAGCGCGCGUAGGUGGCUUGAUAAGCCGGUUGUGAAAGCCCCGGGCUCAACCUGGGAACGGCAUCCGGAACUGUCAAGCUAGAGUGCAGGAGAGGAAGGUAGAAUUCCCGGUGUAGCGGUGAAAUGCGUAGAGAUCGGGAGGAAUACCAGUGGCGAAGGCGGCCUUCUGGACUGACACUGACACUGAGGUGCGAACGCGUGGGUAGCAAACAGGAUUAGAUACCCUUGUAGUC